Molecule: ribosomal RNA, 496 nt
Filed under: uncultured bacterium
Lineage: Bacteria
Description: partial 16S ribosomal RNA
Rfam family: Bacterial small subunit ribosomal RNA
Source: RNAcentral
GAUGAACGCUGGCGGCGUGCCUAAUACAUGCAAGUCGAGCGAACAGACGAGGAGCUUGCUCCUCUGACGUUAGCGGCGGACGGGUGAGUAACACGUGGAUAACCUACCUAUAAGACUGGGAUAACUUCGGGAAACCGGAGCUAAUACCGGAUAAUAUAUUGAACCGCAUGGUUCAAUAGUGAAAGACGGUUUUGCUGUCACUUAUAGAUGGAUCCGCGCCGCAUUAGCUAGUUGGUAAGGUAACGGCUUACCAAGGCAACGAUGCGUAGCCGACCUGAGAGGGUGACCGGCCCACCGGGACCGGGAAACCGUCCCAAACCCCACGGGGGGGCAGCAGUGGGGAAUUUUCCGCAAUGGGCGAAAGCCUACCGGGGCAACCCCGCGGGGGGAAUAAAGGCUUCGGGUUCGAAAACCCUUUUUAUUAGGAAAAAAAAAAUGGUUAAUAAACUUUCCCCCUUUUGACGGUCCCAAACCAAAAAGCCCCGGUUAACUCCGU